UACGUAGGGGGCAAGCGUUGUCCGGAAUCAUUGGGCGUAAAGCGCGUGUAGGCGGCUGGGUAAGUCCGCUCUGAAAGCCCGGGGCUCAACCCCGGGAGGCGGGUGGAUACUGCUCAGCUCGAGUCCGGAAGAGGAGUGUGGAAUUCCUGGUGUAGCGGUGAAAUGCGCAGAUAUCAGGAGGAACACCGGUGGCGAAGGCGGUUCUCUGGGCCUGUACUGACGCUGAGGAGCGAAAGCGUGGGGAGCGAACAGG
Molecule: ribosomal RNA, 253 nt
Filed under: uncultured bacterium
Lineage: Bacteria
Description: partial 16S ribosomal RNA
Rfam family: Bacterial small subunit ribosomal RNA
Source: RNAcentral